UACGGGGGGAGCAAGCGUUUGUUCGGAUUUACUGGGCGUAAAGGGCGCGUAGGCGGUCGUGACAAGUCACUUGUGAAAUCUCCGGGCUUAACUCGGAACGGUCAAGUGAUACUGUCGGACUAGAGUACAGAAGGGCAACUGGAAUUCUCGGUGUAGCGGUGAAAUGCGUAGAUAUCGAGAGGAACACCUGCGGCGAAGGCGGGUUGCUGGGCUGAUACUGACGCUGAGGCGCGAAAGCCAGGGGAGCGAACGGGG
This 255-nucleotide ribosomal RNA is filed under the name uncultured bacterium. RNAcentral's name for it is "partial 16S ribosomal RNA". It matches the Rfam family "Bacterial small subunit ribosomal RNA", at positions 524 to 777 of the family's 1533-position model. The record is from RNAcentral.